CACGUAGGCACCAAGCGUUGUCCGGAUUUAUUGGGCGUAAAGAGCUCGUAGGCGGUUCAGUAAGUCGGGUGUGAAAACUUUGGGCUUAACCCAAAGCGUGCAUCCGAUACUGCUGUGACUUGAGUUCGGUAGGGGAGCAGGGAAUUCCUAGUGUAGCGGUGAAAUGCGCAGAUAUUAGGAGGAACACCGGUGGCGAAGGCGCUGCUCUGGGCCGAAACUGACGCUGAGGAGCGAAAGCGUGGGUAGCAAACAGG
This 254-nucleotide ribosomal RNA is filed under the name uncultured bacterium. RNAcentral describes it as "partial 16S ribosomal RNA". It matches the Rfam family "Bacterial small subunit ribosomal RNA", at positions 524 to 776 of the family's 1533-position model. The record is from RNAcentral.